RNAcentral lists this ribosomal RNA (529 nucleotides) under uncultured OM43 clade bacterium. RNAcentral describes it as "bacterial SSU rRNA". It matches the Rfam family "Bacterial small subunit ribosomal RNA", at positions 1 to 527 of the family's 1533-position model. The record is from RNAcentral. Lineage: Bacteria; Pseudomonadati; Pseudomonadota; Betaproteobacteria; Nitrosomonadales.
UAGGGUUCGAUCCUGGCUCAGAUUGAACGCUGGCGGAAUGCUUUACACAUGCAAGUCGAACGGCAGCAUAGAGAGCUUGCUCCCUGAUGGCGAGUGGCGAACGGGUGAGUAAUAUAUCGGAACGUGCCUAGUAAUGGGGAACAACUAAUCGAAAGAUUAGCUAAUACCGCAUACGACCUACAGGUGAAAGCAGGGGAUCUUCGGACCUUGCGUUAUUAGAGCGGCCGAUAUCUGAUUAGCUUGUUGGUAGGGUAAAAGCCUACCAAGGCAACGAUCAGUAGCUGGUCUGAGAGGACGAUCAGCCACACUGGAACUGAGACACGGUCCAGACUCCUACGGGAGGCAGCAGUGGGGAAUUUUGGACAAUGGGGGCAACCCUGAUCCAGCCAUUCCGCGUGAGUGAAGAAGGCCUUCGGGUUGUAAAGCUCUUUCGCAAGAGAAGAAAACUUGCUAUCUAAUAAAUAGUAAGCAUGACGGUAUCUUGAUAAGAAGCACCGGCUAACUAUGUGCCAGCCGCCGCGGUAAUUCA